UACGGGGGGGGCAAGCGUUGUUCGGAAUUACUGGGCGUAAAGGGCGCGUAGGCGGUUCGCUAAGUUGAAUGUGAAAACUCUGGGCUUAACCCAGAGCCUGCAUUCAAUACUGGCGGGCUAGAGUUCUGGAGGGGAUAGCGGAAUUCCUGGUGUAGCGGUGAAAUGCGCAGAUAUCAGGAGGAACACCAAUUGCGAAGGCAGCUCGCUGGGACGUCACUGACGCUGAGACGCGAAAGCGUGGGGAGCAAACAGG
This 253-nucleotide ribosomal RNA is filed under the name uncultured bacterium. Its description in RNAcentral is "partial 16S ribosomal RNA". It matches the Rfam family "Bacterial small subunit ribosomal RNA", at positions 524 to 776 of the family's 1533-position model. The record is from RNAcentral.